Molecule: ribosomal RNA, 253 nt
Filed under: uncultured bacterium
Lineage: Bacteria
Description: partial 16S ribosomal RNA
Rfam family: Bacterial small subunit ribosomal RNA
Source: RNAcentral
UACGUAGGGUGCGAGCGUUAAUCGGAAUUACUGGGCGUAAAGCGUGCGCAGGCGGCGCGUUAAGACAGGUGUGAAAGCCCCGAGCUUAACUUGGGGAAUUGCGCUUGUGACUGGCGUGCUGGAGUGUGGCAGAGGGAGGUGGAAUUCCACGUGUAGCAGUGAAAUGCGUAGAGAUGUGGAGGAACACCGAUGGCGAAGGCAGCCUCCUGGGCCAGCACUGACGCUCAUGCACGAAAGCGUGGGGAGCAAACAG